Psammomys obesus (fat sand rat) is the source of this 5135-nucleotide long non-coding RNA. RefSeq lists it as uncharacterized. The transcript is spliced from 3 exons. Lineage: Eukaryota; Metazoa; Chordata; Mammalia; Rodentia; Muridae. The record is from RefSeq and is a predicted model, not a curated record.
ACAGACCUUUAGCCCUUCAGGCCUUUGGGGGCCAGCCUGAGAGCUGCCCUGUGUCCCCAAGCUGGUCUCCCUCUACAUCAGCUGCCUUGCAUCCCCAUCUAUGAAACGGAGGAGGUGACCCCAUCUGGGGCCCAGGAUCAAAGGCGGGUCAUCAGGCUUGGCAACGGAUGUCUUCACCUGCUGAGCCAUCUCAACAGCCCCAAGGUGGGCGUUUUGGAGUCAGGACUGUGACAGGACCUUCCUGCGACCAAAGCAUUCCCUUGGGAUGCUGUGUCCACAGGGCAUGCAGGCUUCCCGUCAGUCAGGUCUAAGCAUCCAUCUGCUCACCCCACAACCUCCUGCUGCCAGGAGCGUGCUGGCUUUUUCUGCACUGCGCUGCGCUGCUAAGGAAAAAAAGUAACAAGCCUACGGCUCCCCACAGCCACGGCCCCCUCCCUGGGCUCAGGGCAGUCUCAAGAACUCUAGAAUGCUGCAGGCCGGGGACCCUUUGCUAUGGGUGACCCUCUCAUGCAGGCCCUUUGUCAGCUUCCGAAGGGGUAGAGAGCCUCAGCAGAGGACACCGGGACCAGGUAUCUCCCAGGAGCCCGGAGCAGCAGACCACAGCCAGGCCUAGGAGCUCCUUGUUGGGGGUUAGUCCCCACAACUGACUGGUAUUCCUGGGAGGCAAUGAGUCGGAGUCACGUGACCAAGGAAGCACUCCACCAAGCCAGGCAGAGGAAGUGAAGACAUCCCAGAACCAGUGGACUUUUGAGUACAGAGGUCCUCCAGUUGCCAUGGUCAUCCCAUCCAGAUGCUAAACUUUUCAAUCAGUAGACAAAACAGAACAUUUAGUCCUGGAACUUGAGGGAAAGGGCAGAAAGCCCCAAGGCCUGCUACAGACACAAGAGCAGCUGAGCCCACGGUGGACAGGCCCAGAGGACAGUAAAGAUUCCUUACCUUCCUGGGAGUGAGUCGCCCACCUCUCCUAUCCCACCCCCUGUGUAUAGGGCCCUGCCUCAGCCCUGCUUAUGCCCAUGGGUCCUACCUGCCAGGCCUCUCCCUCUAGACAACCCAGACAGCCAACCAGGAAGCAGGAAUGACCAAAAGAGAGAGGGCAGAGGGAAGAAGCCCCCACCUGUGUGUGACCUUUAGAAAACUUCCUCGCACCAGCACAAGAGUCAGCAGGGACCUGAUCAUGGUCAAAGGGCUGGGAACCUGGAAGGCCCUGCCUGGCCCUGCCAGAUCUCUUCCUGGGCCACCUCACCCAGGUCUGCCGGGGGAGGGGCAGUCACAUGAUAACAACAGCACCAAUGUCAGUGAGCGCCCAGCUAUGACGGCCAACACUGCAAGUGUCCCAUGGGCCCCACUGUAAAUACUCUGAGAAGCAGCAGGACACAGGAAGGGACACUGCUGACCAGGAGGCUGAACUAUCACAGGCAGUCAGGGACACGUGCCAGGCCUCCGCUGGCAGGAAGAUCACCUGUGCCCAUGGAGGUUAAGUGAACUUCAGGGCACCUCCGGUUCUGGUCUCCCCAACCCUUGUAAGAAGAUUUACGAUGCCAGGAAGUCCCCGGAGGAAACGCUGGAUGGAAAAUCGAAUCAUAGGAGGGCUAACUGGGCCUGGUGACUGAUGAUAUGAAUAUCUCAAGCAAAAGAAAAAAAAGAUGCAGCUUAAGGUCCUACGACCAUCUCCCGAGCAAGCGGCAACGGUGCUCCAGCAUGUGCACACGAGUGACAAACACAUAAAUAAGCAGAGAACAAGAUUUAAUGGACUGUGUCCUCCAGUAGCACUUCCUAGGACCAGGAAGUGAUGCCUGCCCCGCCCAGGCUGCCAAGGACACCGCUCUCCAUCCUGCUCACAGUGUACUGGUCACCAGGACACUGCAAGACUCAGCCUACAAGCCAACAGCCAGAUACGUGCCAACCACGUCCUUCACAAGGAACCGGAGGGCCUGAUGUGAGACACACAAUUGGAAAGUUCUACACACACACACACACACACACACACAUACACACAGCUACUUGCUCUUCCCCAUGGGCUAGGAGGGCCUGUGUCCCGUUCCUGCAAAGCUCCACCCUCCCACACCCCACUGGAAAAGCUCCAUGGACGGCUUCAUCUCUCCUUAUCCCGUUUCACCUGGCUCCUCUUCCAAGACCACAACUGCUAUUUGAAUUGGUUCUGCUGAGCAUAAGGAAUUAUGCAGAGUUGGUUUUCUCCUUCUUCUUCCCAAGGAUGCCUCUCUCUGUCCUGCUCACAGUAUCCCAAGAGCCCAGAAGCACAGCCGGAUGACCAUGUCCAGGCCACCUGACCCUGGGGCCUCACCUCUGCAGCAUGCAAGCUGAGAUGACAGCGAUGGCAGAGCAGGGGCAUCCUGAUGACUGUGGGGGACACCACAGGUCAAGGCCCAGGACAGAGCUUGGAGCCAGUAGGAGAAGUGACGGGGAAAGCAGCCAGCACAUCUGGAAGCAUUCAGGGACCCAGAAAGCCACCAGAGCUCACACCACUAAUUUCUCCUGAAGCCGACGGGUCUCUUGCCGGGGCCGUGCUGCAGUCCAGCAAACCCCAAGCCCAGCCGUCCUCUGCAGGGAACCUCUGGAGAGCUGUGGGAACCAUUGCACCACUGGCCCGGCCCUGUCGAGCUUCGAAAUUCCUGGAAAUGUGAAUGCCAGCCACAGAUCUGCAGUGCGACCCUGGGUCUCUCCCAGCACAACUGCCCAGCUUCAGACAAGGGGCAGUGCUGGGGACAGCGUCUGUCUGUCCCCACUUCGUAGGGUUUCCCAGCAUCCUAGCACAGGACAGCUGGCGAGCGGUGUGGCGCUCCCAUCUGGUAAUCCUCAGCGACAGAGGGCUGGCAGGGACGUGCAGGAGGGCGAUGCUAACACCUGAGUAUCUGUCUGUACCCUGUCCUGCUUCCCCUGCCUCUGCAAUCAUGAAACUGAGCCAUCACUUGCCCCGUCGAGGGCUACCAAGCCCCAGCCCAGGGCAAGCUGAAAGGAGAACCAAAGCUGUCCUGGGGAAUUCUUCCUGGGCUCCAUGCCAAUGCUGUGUGCUUUGAUCUCAGGCGAAUCUUCCCCUCCGGGACCUUCACACCCCCAUGGCAUGCACCCUCUGCUACCACAGCAGGCGGAAGCACAGAGAACCAAGCAUGCGUGGAUGAGCGGGAGAGCCCAGAGCCAAGAGAGCUGGGAAACUGGAGAGUCUAGGAUACAUGGAAACAGAAAAUAAGGCAAGAGAGUGGGGAGCAGUAGGGGGAAAUGAUAUGAGGAUGAGCACAUUAACGUUCUUCAAAGUGGCCAAUCCCCACAUUUCCCUUAGCCAGACUGGGGUCUACCCGCAGGCCCCUGCGCACCCUACUCUGUGGUUCAUGUAUAUUUCUGAACCCAUUUCCACAUCUGCAAAAUGGGGCUAGCCGAGGUUCUCUUCCUAGGGACUGCCUGGAAAGACGCUCAGAGGGAUGCAGGCCACCUUGUGGCCAUCCUCGUUUUUUUUUACAGACAGGGACCCUGAGAAGCAGUGACUCUCAAAGGUCACUGCACAGAUGCUGUCAUGGAAAGGAAACACUUCCUGGAGAGCAGGAAGUACAGCCAGAAGAAGGUGGCCUUUCCAGGCUCUUCUGGGGACACCGGUGCUGUCCACUCCUGCUCGACCAGCCCCUGCUCGACCAGCCCCGCUCCAGGAUCUUGCUGGCUUUCCACGGGGUGGAACCAUUUGUCACCAUCUGCAAUAGCCUCCUCAGUCAGCAGGGAGUGCCCACAGGGGCAUGUGGAAAGACGCCUAUGCACAGGACCUGAAAUCCACAGCACAAUCUCUCCUCUGAAGGGCCUCUGAAGGGCCAGCAGCCUCUGGGUGACAGUCAGGACUCAGCUGGCACCAACAUCCAGACUCUGUCUAAUGAACCUUAUCCCCUCCUGUAAUGUGCUUUUAAGGGUGACACGGGGUGCUGGGAGGAGUGCUGGAGAGAUGGCUCAAUGGUUAGGAGCACUGUCCACUCUCCCAAAAGAUGCGGGUUCAAUUCCCAACACCCACAUAGCAGCUCACAACUGUCUGAAAUGCCAAUUCCCAAUUCCAAGGGAUCUGUCACCUUCACACUAAUACACAUAUAAUAAAAUUAAAUAAAUUAUUUUUUUAAAAAAAAAAGGGUGACACAGAGAAUCUAAGCUCAGGGCUCUACAGAAAGGCAAACUUCCAGGGGCUGGUGAGGUGGCUCAGUCAGUAAAGCGCUUGCCUUGCAAGCUUGAGGACCCAAGUUCAACCCCCAGGACCCACAUAAGAAGCUGUCCUAGCAGCACACGUGUAAUCCCAGUUCUGUGGGGACUGCCUGACUCGCUCAGCAAGCUCCGGGCCUAUGAGAGACACUGUCACAGUGGAGACCAUGAGCUACAGGAGACUGGAGAUAUGGCUUGCCAACAACUAAGAAACAUACUGCUCUUGCAGAGGACCCGAGUUCAGUUUCCAGCACCCACACCAGGCAGCCAGCAAGGUCUCUAGGGAGACCCCAUGCCUUUGGCUGCCAGGGGGUGCCCACAUUCCCGUGUGCACAGGAGUGACUCCAAAGCAGUUAGGGCAGAGUCAAAUACGUGUGGCUGGGAAGCUCAAGAGGGAGUAGCCGGAGUCUCAUAGUGUCCAACCAUGCUUCCCACCCCUCCUUCUCAGGAGGGAACAUCAGCUGCCAAUCAGCCCAAUCUGAGUGUCUCUUGCAAGUGGUCACAGCUGUGCUGAUGACAUCUGUUAUGCUCGGAGGGAAGGAUUCCGCAACAGGCUCCUGUUGGUCUGCUCCGGCCUCUGACAGCCAGCGAUCGCUCAGGGACCCAGGGCAAGGGGGAGAAACCUGAAGCGGUGUGGUGUGAGCUCAAGGCCCAGCGGCCCUAGCCCAGUGUCCAGAGGCUUGCUAUGCACGGGGAGGGGUUCAAAGGUGCUGCAGUGGGGGUGGAGAAGGGUCUGCCUCCGUGUGGCUGGUUUAAUGAUGGGCAGUGUCCUCUCAACAAACAGGCUGAACCAUUUUCUCUGGAGUUGGCCCUUUGCACUGUGUAUGCAUAUGCACAUAUACAGACGUGUGCGUGUGCGUGUGCGUGCAUGUGCGCGUGUGUGGUUGUCUUGCCUCGGGCGUCAUCCACCUCUGAUUUGUUUUAGUAAAAACAAAUUUUCAUUAGUUAUA